AUUUAAGAACCAGAUUAUUCUAUUAUUCAUGACACUUUUUGAUAAAGUUUUAUUAAUGCCAUCGCAAAUCCCAUUGAGAUAAAAGAUUUUGUUUUUAUUGUGUGGUUCAAGAUAAUUUUAAUUGGUCAAAAACUAUCGUGAUACAAAACAUAUCUAAAAUGUAAUUUUUAUGCAAUUGCUUGCCUUGUUGAUUAUAAGAAUUGUCUUGACCUUGCGUGUGAGAACCUUGGAUUCGUAGAAUCACUUCAACCAUGCCAACUUGAUAAUCACAUGGUUAUGGUUAUGGUCAAGGGCCAUCGCUAAUCCACUUUGGAAUUAAAUAUGGUGUAGAAAAAAAGAGAGAGCUCAUGGAGCGGGCAACGCAAGGAUCCGGUGGGUCGUGCCAAAAACCUCACUUUCAAACCAGAUUCUCAAAAUAUUGUUUGGAAUAAUUGUAGCAAAACAACAAUUUAGAAAGCUAAGGGGGGGAAAAGGUAGAAGAAGCUCUUUUCUCUACCACUGAAUUUGCUAUCUUCCUUUAUCCUCAUUUUUCUUUCUUUGUUUCCUGUUUCGAAGACUUGAAAGCUUUUGCUAGUUUUCCCGAGCAGCCAAUGAAGGCUCUGUGUGUGCUUUGAUGCUCCAUGAAUCUAUGCGCAAAUCAAGCCCAGCCAAUUGGUUCAUAAAAAGAAAGUAGAAGAAGACUCAAUCCAUUCGGUUUCUGAAAGCCUUUUAGGGUAAAAAGACAUGUAAAAGUCAUGAUUUUGUGGUCUAAAAGAGUUUUUCAUUUCUUACAUGAUUUUUG
Molecule: long non-coding RNA, 781 nt
Filed under: Populus tremula
Lineage: Eukaryota; Viridiplantae; Streptophyta; Magnoliopsida; Malpighiales; Salicaceae
Description: long non-coding RNA (PTRE_LNC000894)
Source: RNAcentral